AAAGAAGAUUUGAGAGCUGCUGCACUGAAGCACAGGAUGCUUUUGAGCUCUAUAAAAAUAAAGGUCCCAUGGAUGUGACAGGGCAGAGAGGAAGAUACAGGGGCACAGCAGUUAUACCCUACCUAAGCGUGUAUGUAGAUAGAGGAAGAAGAACGGCAACUAACAACCAGCUAAUUGCAGCGUGCGGGGCAGGGGGAGGAUGGCUGGGACCUAACUUGUCACCCAGUCGUGGACUCUGUGGAUGCCGUGCCGUGACGGAGGGCCGAGGGCUGAGCCGAGGAUUUGCAUGUAGGAGGAGAGGCGAUGGCCGUGCAGCGUGCACCCGAGGCUGCUCUCAGCCUGCUGAUGAGGUGGGAACCUUUUUUAAGGGAAGAAAAUUAAGUAGAAUAAACCCAAAAGGUCAACGGUAACAUCAAAGGAGCUCUUUUCUCCAGGGUGAAGACUAUUUAAAUAAAAAAUAAAUAAAUAAGUAAAAAAUAAUAAUA
RNAcentral lists this long non-coding RNA (485 nucleotides) under Phasianus colchicus (ring-necked pheasant). RNAcentral describes it as "lncRNA (ENSPCLG00000000035.1)". The record is from RNAcentral. Lineage: Eukaryota; Metazoa; Chordata; Aves; Galliformes; Phasianidae.